GUAGUUUCCAAGGAGACAGGACCCUGGGUCUACUGCUCAGCCUAGUGCUGAUGUUUACCUAUUUUACAUAAGCCCUGCUCUACUCUAAGACCUUCAAACAGUGGCUUCAUUUACACUGUGCUUAUACUCUUCUCCCCUGAUCCAAAGUUUGGUAGUUCCCCUUACCCGUAGUGGUUUCUGGUUUCACUUUCCACAGUCUGUUAUCCAUUGCUGCUGUCAGUUACAGUCAGGAAGCAGGUUCUCCUUCUGACGAAUCAGCAGAAGGUCAAUAGUAGCCUAACGCUGUCACAAUCCUGCGUCACAAUGCCUGUGUCAUUCACAUUUCAGCUCAUCACUAGGCAUUUUAUCUCAUUAUCACAAGAAGGGCUAUUUCUUGGGUGCUGCCUCUACUCUGCUGAACUCAAGUGUCUUCUCCUGACCUUGUGGCUCUUCUUCUGGUUAUUGACAACAGAGCACAGGACUGACCACACAUGGUGCCAGAGCAUCUAGAUAAUUUGUCUUAAGGUAAUUGGACUGUGAUGCUUUCCUUGCCACAUCUCAACAUGUGCUCAUUUGAGUAUCUUCUAGGAGCCACAAAACAAGUACUCAUCAUUUCUGUCCACACACAUCUAGCAGCUUUGAACUACAAGCACCAUGCACUUGUCUGUAUACUUUAUCUGGUGUCUUGUGCCAGCAUCUUGUCCCCCUAUGUUGGGGAAUUAACACAACUCUCUCAAACAGUGGAAUCAGCUCUUAACCAAGAACUGUUUGGAAUUGGCAUAUCCCUCUCUACAGAAAUGAAAAUAGAACUGCUGAACUGAUGGAGAUGGGAAAAGAGUGGUGGUCAUUGGCAUAGAGACUGAACUACCAGGAG
Long non-coding RNA from Canis lupus familiaris (dog), 853 nucleotides. RefSeq lists it as uncharacterized. The transcript is spliced from 5 exons. The record is from RefSeq and is a predicted model, not a curated record. Lineage: Eukaryota; Metazoa; Chordata; Mammalia; Carnivora; Canidae.